This 135-nucleotide non-coding RNA is filed under the name Bacteroides gallinarum. RNAcentral describes it as "Bacteroidete tryptophan peptide leader RNA". It matches the Rfam family "Bacteroidete tryptophan peptide leader RNA". The record is from RNAcentral. Lineage: Bacteria; Pseudomonadati; Bacteroidota; Bacteroidia; Bacteroidales; Bacteroidaceae.
AAAACAAAAAAAGACAAUGAAAACAAUAUUCGUAAAUACAUAUUGGUGGUGGCGCCCGUUACAACUCCGACAGUCGUAAGGGAGCAGUGCUCGUGUGUAUAUACAAUCAUGGAUAGAUAAACAAAGAGCCCUGUC